This 28-nucleotide non-coding RNA is filed under the name Rattus norvegicus (Norway rat). Lineage: Eukaryota; Metazoa; Chordata; Mammalia; Rodentia; Muridae. The record is from RNAcentral.
UGGAAGACUCAAUGAGCCGAUAGCCUUC